Molecule: long non-coding RNA, 685 nt
Organism: Prinia subflava (tawny-flanked prinia)
Lineage: Eukaryota; Metazoa; Chordata; Aves; Passeriformes; Cisticolidae
Exons: 3
Source: RefSeq, a predicted model, not a curated record
GCCUCUUCCUCCCUCCCUCCUCCUCCUCCCCCGUUCCCGGACCCGUCGAAGCCCACGGAGGGAGCGGGAAUGGAGCCGGGCCAGGUCUCCACACAGUGCAGGUGGUUUCCAGCUGUGACCUCCUGUCCAAUGGAGCAUCCCUGGAUCCCACCGGUACGGCUCCGACGGGUGGGAUUUCAUCUUCUUCCAGCUGGGAUCUGGGAGCUUUGCAGUGUCCAUUGGUGCCACCUGGAUCACCCAGAGGUGCUGGGAAUCCAAAGGGAUCACGGUGGAGCAGAUGAAGCAUUACCUGGGGCACACUGAUGUGGAAGAUCUCCCAAAAUACAUCAGAUAUGGUCAGGAGGCUGUGGAGUACAAAGGUAGCACAACAAAAAGCUGUCCUCAAGUGCUGCAUCUCCACUGCACCCACAUGUCCUGCCUGCUCCGUGCCAGCUCUUGCUCUCCAGUUGCUCCUCAGAGGCCACGAGGGGCUGGCAAAGCCCCUGAGCAGGCACCAUGGACAGGUUUGAAAUGGUAAGUUCAAUUGAUCUUCAACUAGUCAGUUUGGUAGUAGAAUUAACCUUUCCUCAAAAUAUAGCCUCUGCUUGCCCAUUUUGAAAGCACUCACAUAGUGUGAAUUUGCCUUAUCUUGUAUGUGUUAUGUUUACCUGAAAAACCUUUUGAAGAGAAAAACACAUUUACUGUU